GGGUACGAUCAUACCAGCAGUAAUGCAUCGGAUCCCAUCAGAACUUUGCAGUUAAGCGUGCUUGGACGAUGUAUAAUAGUUUUACACA
Molecule: ribosomal RNA, 88 nt
Filed under: Cephalotus follicularis
Lineage: Eukaryota; Viridiplantae; Streptophyta; Magnoliopsida; Oxalidales; Cephalotaceae
Source: RNAcentral